UUUAUCGGAGAGUUUGAUCCUGGCUCAGGACGAACGCUGGCGGCGUGCCUAAUACAUGCAAGUCGAGCGGACAGAUGGGAGCUUGCUC
This 88-nucleotide ribosomal RNA is filed under the name Bacillus subtilis. Its description in RNAcentral is "partial 16S ribosomal RNA". It matches the Rfam family "Bacterial small subunit ribosomal RNA", at positions 1 to 85 of the family's 1533-position model. The record is from RNAcentral. Lineage: Bacteria; Bacillati; Bacillota; Bacilli; Caryophanales; Bacillaceae. RNAcentral also lists the same sequence under 2 other names.